Molecule: small RNA, 1170 nt
Filed under: Theobroma cacao (cacao)
Lineage: Eukaryota; Viridiplantae; Streptophyta; Magnoliopsida; Malvales; Malvaceae
Description: sRNA Tc10v2_g013480
Source: RNAcentral
CUUGCUCAAUAUGGAUUCAGACAGAACAAAAACUGCUAAAAGCAGCCUCUUCUGGCAUACAAAUGAACCUUCUAAGGAACCUUCGUCCCGAAUACGAGAGGGAUUGAUCUUUGGUGAAAAUCUUCGCAUCUGAUGAGCUUGUUAAAACUUGUUUAGGGCCCUUGAUAUAGGCCAAAGAUAGCCUAUAAGAUACAAGUUGCCAUUACUUUUAAAAGUCUAAUCGAAGUUAACAGUAUGGAGCUACAUAUCUGCACUGUUUAGUAAAUACCAAUCACUAAAUUCUGAGUAAAUAAAGAAGGAUUUGUCCUUUAUGAAGAUAUCGAGGUGCUAUUGCAAGUUGUAUAGUUUAAGAAGGCAAAACCUUCUGUUUUUCUAAGGUCUUUUAACAGCUCCAUGGCUUGUUAUUACUUGUUAGUCCUCCUUAUCCUUAUUGUUUCCGGUGCACCUGUGGAAGUUCAUGGCAAACUCUCAUCAAACUACUACAGCUCCACUUGCCCUGAAGUAAUGUCUAUUGUUGAAGCACGAGUAAGAGCUGCCGUUAAAAAGGGACCCUCAUGGCGGCAUCUAUGCUCCGGUUGCAUUUCCAUGACUGCUUUGUUAAUCUGAGGCCGCGGUGGAUCGAUUCUGUUGGAUGAUAAUGCCACCUUUAUGCGUGAGAAGACUGCAGCACCUAACGAUAAAUCUGUCAAGGGAUUUGAUGUGGUUGAUGACAUUAACGCUAAAGUGGAGAAAGCAUGCCCUGAAGUGGUAUCCUGCGCUGAUAUUCUUGCCAUUGCAGCUCGCGAUUCUGACUGUCAGGGUAAGUCCAACAAUUAAGUCUAUCUACAAAAGCACAAACCUUAUCAGCAAGUUGCUGAUUUCUUGUUACAGUCUAGGCAGUUGGCUCGGUUGGGUAGCAGUUGUUUCAUCAUCUAUAUUAAUGCCUUUUUAUGAUUUUCAGUUAGGGGGUUCUUCAUGAAAAGUUAAGCUAGGGAGAAGGGAUUCUACCACUGCUAGCAGGGCUGCUGCAGACAACUCAAUUCCUGGACCCAAUUUCAAUGUUAGUGCUCUCCCAUUGAGCUACGCUGCUCAAGGACUCUCAUUAAAAGACUUGGUGGCUUUUUCAGGUUCACACACUAUUGGCCUGCCCAGGUGCAUAACAUUUCAAACACACAUCUACAAUGACUCGAA